RNAcentral lists this long non-coding RNA (5839 nucleotides) under Gossypium barbadense (sea-island cotton). RNAcentral describes it as "long non-coding RNA (GBAR_LNC022071)". The record is from RNAcentral. Lineage: Eukaryota; Viridiplantae; Streptophyta; Magnoliopsida; Malvales; Malvaceae.
AAAGGACCCCAAUAGCCACGUCAAAGACACUACUGCCUGGGCCCUUGGACGUAUCUUCGAAUUCCUUCUUGGUUCGGCUGUAGAUUUGCCUAUUAUCACUCAGGCAAAUUGCCAACAGAUAGUCACAGUUCUGCUACAGAGUAUGAAGGACACUCCAAAUGUUGCUGAGAAAGCCUGUGGUGCUCUCUAUUUUCUUGCUCAAGGUUACGAGGGUGAAGGUGAACCAUCUCCUUUAACUCCUUUUUUCCAGGAAAUUGUCCAGUCCCUCCUCACUGUCACUCACCGAGAAGAUGUUGGGGACUCCCGGCUGAGGACUGCUGCCUAUGAAACUUUGAAUGAGGUGGUGAGAUGCUCAACCGUUGAGACAGCUCCAUUGGUAUUGCAAUUGGUGGCUGUCAUCAUGAUGGAACUUCAUAACACCCUUGAGAGCCAGAAACUCUCAUCUGAAGAAAGAGAAAAGCAGAGUGAACUGCAAGGCCUUCUUUGUGGUUGUUUACAAGUCAUUAUUCAGAAGCUUGGUUCAUCAGAGACAACCAAGUACGCAUUCAUGCAGUAUGCAGAUCAGAUCAUGGGACUUUUCCUUAGGGUUUUUGCUUGUAGGAGUGCUACCGUACAUGAGGAAGCCAUGCUUGCUAUUGGAGCUCUUGCUUAUGCAACAGGAGCAGAUUUUGCAAAAUACAUGCCGGAGUUUUAUAGGUACUUGGAGAUGGGUCUUCAGAAUUUUGAGGAGUACCAGGUCUGUGCUGUGACAGUUGGUGUUGUGGGUGAUAUUUCCAGGGCACUGGAGGAAAAAAUUGUGCCUUACUGUGAUGGGAUUAUGACACAACUUCUCAAGAAUUUGUCGAGCAACCAGUUGCAUCGCUCCGUGAAGCCUCCCAUAUUUUCAUGCUUUGGUGACAUUGCAUUGGCAGUGGGAGAGUAUUUCGAAAAAUACCUAAUGUGGGCCAUGUCUGCACUUCAGAGCGCAGCAGAUUUGUCCACCCAUAUAGCAGGCGAUGAUGAACUGGUAGAGUACACAAAUUCCCUGAGAAACGGAAUCCUGGAGGCAUAUUCUGGGAUUUUCCAAGGAUUUAAGAACUCUCCCAAAACCCAGCUGUUGAUUCCCUAUGCACCUCACAUCCUCCAGUUCUUGGAUGGCAUAUACAUGGAGAAAGACAUGUGAGUUCUAUUAAAUAAAAGUCUACUGUUUUAAGCUUUUUCUCUAACUAAUGACUAUGUCUUCUAACGAGUGGUUAUUAACUUAAAUGUUUUUUAUUUCCUAUAGGGAUGAUAUGGUCAUGAAGACUGCCAUUGGAGUCCUUGGUGAUCUAGCUGAUACAUUAGGAAAUCAUGCUAGUUCUAUGAUACAGCAAUCUGUAUCAAGCAAAGACUUUUUGAAUGAAUGCUUGUCUUCAGAAGACCUUCUGGUUAAAGAAUCUGCUCAAUGGGCCAAGUUGGCCAUUAGUCGUGCCAUUUCUGUUUGAGGGUGUUGCCAUUCGGCAUUUUUUAUUUUCUUUCGGAAAUCCAUGCAACCUGGUGUGUUUAAGUCGAGGUCUGAGAUUGCAUGUGUCAAGUCAUCGCCAUUGUCAAGGCAACUGAAAGUUUCUAGUCUUCACGUUGUCACUAACUCUUGCAUCAUCGUCAUGGGGUCGGAUUCUUAUGUCAUUCAUGAAGUGGAUUGGGAUGGUUUCAGAGAAUCAAACUUUUUAUCUCCUUGGUUAAGUCAUCCCGAUUGUCAAGACAAAUAAAGUCACUAGUCUUCACGUUGUCAUUAACUCUUGCAUCAUCAUGGAGUCGGGUUCCAAUUUCAUUCAUGAAAUAGGGGGAAUCUUUCAAAACUCGAACGGUUCAAAGGGGGAGGAAUCAGCAACCGUAACAUGUCUGAUUCAAUAACUAGUCAGGUACCUCGGCCACUUGCUGUAUUACCGCUCUGCUUGUGAUUUGUCAAUUUAAGGUCCAUUGGGAUGAAUGGCUGAGGAUGUGGUUCAAGUGCGGCAAUACUUCAAAGACAUAUCUCAUGUACUGUAUUUCACCAUUGUCUCACCCAGUUUUGGUUCCCUAGUGUUCUGCCACAUAUUUUGUCAAGUACACAUCAGUUGGGUUUCAUUUAACCAUCGCCGCUUCUUUUUUUAUAUUAAUGGGGUUCGGUCCUUUUGGUACAUAUAAAUGGAGUUUGGUGGUUAUCCACAUGCUGCAUUUUUCUUUGUGGGGGAGGGGGGAGCAUUCCAUCCUGCAUCCCAUCAUUGUUCUUUUGGUUUGCGUUUCUUUUUGGGUUCGUUGAUUUGAAUUUUACCAAAUUCUGGAGUCAGUUUGUUCAAGUAUCAUGCAUUCAUUCAUAAAUUUCCUUUAUUUUCCCUUUAUAUGCAAUAUAAAUUAUAUUAUAUUAUUUUUUAUAGAUUAAGGGAUAAAUAUCAGAAUUAUAAUGAGUUUUAGUCCGAAAUGUAAUUUGAUGCAUGGUCUUUAAUUUAGUGCAAUUUUACGUAUAAAAUUUUAAUUGUGUAUACCUUUAAAAAUCUAAAUACAUUAAAUUAUUUAUAUAUUGAAUUAAUAUAGUUAUAUGUAUAUACAAUAUGUUAACAUAAAAUGAUGUUAUAUCGAUAAUUAUGAUAGUGAUUUCUGAAAAUUAAAUCAUAUCAAUACUUAAUGUAAAUUAUACAAAAUUAAAGUUUAUGUAUAAUAUUACACAUUGAUAGUUUACAUGUAAUUUUAAAUUUUAUUCCUGAAUUUUAUAGAUAAAAUUACCAACUGCAUUACCUAAAUCUUUGAUUCGAUUAAUAUUUUUAUAAUAAUAUAUAUAAUUGAGGUUAAAUAAGACAUUCUAUAAAAUAACUAUUUAAAUGGGAUAGGAUCAAUUUGAAGUUUAUGAAAAUAUGUUCUAAGAGGACAAGAUUGGAUAACUUUGAAUAAAAUAAUCGUACAGAUUUUGUAAAGAACUUUUCCUUUUAUAGUUAAUAAAAUCUGUCUUAAUAAUGGUAUUACAACGAAUUAUUAACCAAAGUUUACGCCAACCACAAAAUAUAAAUGAAAAAAGAUAAGAGCUGAACCAGAAAGGGUUAUUAACCAUCUAUUUAAAUAUAUUAUAUUCUUUAUUUUUGCAAAUCUUUUCUUGGAUAUUAUCAAGUGGUCCAUGGUAAUAUAUAUAUAUAUCCAUGCUUAUUCACCUAUAGUUUUAUUUUUGUUUUUCUAUACCAUAAUUAAAAGAUGCCUAAUUCUUUUUAGCUGUCAAGUGGAGGAUGGUUCAAAUGUAUGUUUUUCAAUUUAUUAUAAUAGUAAUGAUAUCAUUUGUACUAAACAAGGUAUAAUUUUAUUUAUAAACCCUUCUAACUUUUAAAUCCAAUAAAAGAGUAUACUUAUAAACACUCAAAUUUUGAAUACGAAUAAUAAAAUAAAUAUGAAGAAUGUCAAAAAAAAAUAUAAAUUCUUUAUUAAAAAAUCUCUUACAUUAUUUUUAAGAAAAUAUCGGAGUUACAAUUCAAGCCGCUGGUUUUAUUAAAUGAUAUUAUCUAGAUUAUUAAAUAUAAGUUAGAGGUUUGGAAAUUAAGAUAAUCCUAAAUUCAAAUUAUCAUUUUAAUAAAAUAGUUAGGGAAGUAAAAUACAUUAUCGUAAUACAUUUGAAAUAAAAUAAAUUCAAAAACUAAUUCCUUUUCAAAAAGUAAUUUAAAAAUUAUAUUGUUUGUAUAAAUUAUUGAGUCCAGCUCCAAAUCCGCGUCUCCUUCUCGUUCAUCCUUUUUUGCGUUUUCUCUCUCCAAUUAUUACGUCUUAUUCAGCCGCUCUUCUCCGAUCGGUGAAAGGUAAAGCUUGCAUCUGAAUUUUAAGCUUAUUUUGUUAAAUUCCCCUCUACAAAUUUCAUGUUAAUUUGAAAUUAGGGUUUCUAAUUGUGAUUUUGGAUAUUUGAUAUUGAAUGCAUUGAUUCGCUUUCUGUUUAUUUGUAAUACUAAUUCAAGUGUUAUAUUCAUUUCCUUCCCAAGAUUUGAAUGAUCGAAUUUUUAAGUGUUGACUUUAUUUAAUUUAAAUCUACUUCGAUCUAGGUUUAUCUUUGGUUUUAUCUGUUACAUUUCAGAUUUUAAGUUUUUAAUAUCCAAUUGGCACAAUUGAUCUUUAAUAUUCAAGUGUUCAUUUCAGCUGCUAGGUAAGUAGAAAUGACAAUAGGGUUUUCUUGGACCGAUUUGAUUUUUUCAUUUAUUUUUUUAACUACAUAUUGGUUUUAUUCUUGUUAUUGUCAUUUACUCUUUUCGAUGAAUUGUAAGGUAACAGUAUGCGUUUCCUUUUUAUUUAUUUUAUUUUUGGUACCUUUUAUGUUUUUCUGGAAUGGGGUUUUAGAAUAUCUACCUUAUUUACCUCUGACUUACUGUUUAUCUCAUUUAUUGAAUCAUUGAUGCUUUCAGAAAUAUUAUGGCUAUGGAGGUUACGCAGGUGCUUCUGAAUGCACAAUCAAUAGAUGGAGCUGUGCGAAAAAAUGCAGAAGAUAGCUUGAAACAGUUUCAGGAGCAAAACCUUCCUGUUUUUUUGGUCUCGCUUUCUGGGGAGUUGGCAAACGAGGAGAAGCCUGUUGAAACACGUAAAUUAGCUGGUUUGGUACUUAAGAAUGCAUUGGAUGCCAAGGAACAACACAGGAAGUUUGAGCUUGUUCAAAGAUGGUUGUCAUUGGAUGGCAAUGCAAAAAGCCAGAUUAAGGCAUGCUUGCUGACGACUUUGACAUCUCCGGUAUCGGAUGCUCGUUCAACUGCAUCUCAAGUCAUUGCAAAGGUUGCUGGCAUUGAGUUGCCACAUAAACAGUGGCCUGAGUUAAUAGGUUCACUUUUAUCAAAUGUUCAUCAGCUACCAGCUCAAGCUAAGCAAGCCACUUUGGAGACGCUUGGAUAUUUGUGUGAGGAGGUGUCCCCUGAUGUUAUCGAUCAAGAUCAAGUAAAUAAAAUUCUUACAGCUGUAGUUCAAGGCAUGAGUUCAUCGGAGGGAAACACUGAUGUGAGGCUUGCUGCAACCAGAGCACUUUACAAUGCAUUGGGCUUUGCGCAAGCAAAUUUCAGCAAUGACAUGGAGCGUGAUUAUAUCAUGAGAGUUGUCUGUGAGGCAACGCUGUCCCCAGAAGUGAGGAUAAGACAAGCUGCUUUCGAAUGUUUGGUAUCCAUUUCAUCAACUUAUUAUGAAAAAUUAGCUCCAUAUAUUCAAGAUAUUUUCAACAUUACAGCAAAGGCUGUGAGGGAAGAUGAGGAACCUGUUGCUCUUCAAGCCAUUGAGUUUUGGAGCUCAAUAUGUGAUGAGGAGAUAGAUAUUUUGGAAGAAUAUGGAGGUGAUUUCACUGGUGACUCAGAUAUUCCUUGCUUUUAUUUUAUCAAGCAGGCGCUCCCUGCCCUCGUUCCUAUGCUGUUGGAGACACUAUUGAAGCAGGAGGAGGAUCAGGAUCAGGAUGAAGGGGCUUGGAAUAUUGCAAUGGCUGGUGGAACAUGUCUUGGUUUGGUUGCACGGACUGUUGGAGAUGAUAUAGUACCUCUUGUUGUGCCAUUUAUUGAGGAAAAUAUUUCAAAACCGGAUUGGAGGCAGCGGGAGGCAGCAACUUAUGCCUUUGGUUCAAUCUUGGAGGGCCCUUCUCCAGAAAAGUUAAUACCCCUUGUGAAUGUUGCCCUUACUUUUAUGCUCAGUGCUUUGACAAAGGACCCCAAUAGCCAUGUCAAAGACACAACAGCCUGGACCCUGGGACGUAUCUUUGAAUUUCUUCAUGGUUCAGUUGUUGAUUCUCCCAUCAUCAGUCAAGCAAAUUGCCAACAGAUUAUUACAGUUCUGCUACAGAGCAUGAAGGACACUCCAAAUGUUGCUGAGAAGGCCUGUGGUGCUCUCUAUUUUCUUGCUCAAGGUUAUGAGG